Long non-coding RNA from Phragmites australis (common reed), 1126 nucleotides. RefSeq lists it as uncharacterized. Lineage: Eukaryota; Viridiplantae; Streptophyta; Magnoliopsida; Poales; Poaceae. The transcript is spliced from 2 exons. The record is from RefSeq and is a predicted model, not a curated record.
GCACUGUCCAUAUCCAUCGUACCCAAUUGCCAUCCCUAGUCAUGUGACCCGGUAAAACACGGAGAGCCAUCCCUAGUCAUGUGACCCGGUAAAACACGGCGAGCUGACCACCCGGAGGCAGCUUCCUCUGCAGAUCCCAACAAAAGUUCGGUUCUAUUUAGAUCCUGGAGCACUGCCAAUGGAGCGCACCCAGUCUACAGUACCCAAUUGUUCCCUUUGUUUGCUAACUUUUGCCCGCUCCAACUCGCGGGACACACCGCGAAACAGCAACAAGCCAACAAUGUCACCAAACGCUUGCCCAUGCUCGAUUCGAUUGCUUCUUGUUCUCCUCAGCUUAUUAAUAUUGGCCCUCCUCAGCGGCAGCGUUGCAGGCGGACGCGCAAGUUGCAAUGCUUGGGAUCCGAACAACCCCGGGCGCUGUCCACCAUAUUACAAUCUGUAUGGUCAUCCCUCUGCGCCAUGAGCAAAAUGCGAGAAGAUUCUCUGAUUCCUGUGAUCUGUCAAUGCAGGCACACAUGUCUACCCCACGGCUUUUUGCAAGGAAAAUUUCUAUUAUAGUAGAAAUUUGUCUAACUGGAAUGCAUCUUCAUUUGUAUAGGAACAUGAAUAAAUGAAGUAGGAUAUGACCAUCCAUGUUCUUAUGUUCUCUCUUACGCUCUUUUUUUCUGUGGCGUGAUUUUUCACCAUCAUCGCAGGGGGCACCGAACAGCCCCGUGCACCAUUUUACAAUCCGUAUGGUCCUCGCUUCUGAUUGUGCGCGAUGAGCAAAAUGCGAGAAGAUUAUCUGAAUCCUGUGGUCUGUCAAUGCAGGCAUGCAUGACUACCCCACGACUUUUUAUAAGAAAAUUUCCUAUUAUAGUAGAAAAUUUUCUAACUCGAGUGCAUCUUCAUUUGUAUGGGAACUUGAAUAAGUCAAGUACGUAGCAUAUGGCUCUUACAAUAGGAACAAGAAUAAGACGUUUUAAUUAGGUUCCAUCUGUAUGUAAUUGUAUCCGAGAAGGACUUUUCUCCAUCCCGUCCAAAUUUCUCAUAUAUAAGGAAGGUGGGAGGUCCUAUUGUACACAUAUAUUAAAAAAAAGGCCUUUAAAGCUUGGGCGCUGCUUGCAGGCGGCCGGCUGACAGCAAC